AUGUCGUGGGACAAAAUGACGAAACCGAAGAGAGGAGGAGGCAUUGGGUUUAGGGAUAUGCACUUGUUUAACCAAGCACUGCUAGCCAGGCAAGGAUGGAGGCUGAUCCAAAACCCUGAUAGUUUGUGCGCUAGGGUUCUGAAAUCGAAAUAUUAUCCAAACGGAGAGCUGAUGGAUACGGUGUUUGCAGCUGAUGCAUCACAGUCUUGGAGAGGCAUCAAAUUUGGCCUUGAGCUACUUAAGAAAGGGCUGAUAUGGCGGAUAGGAGAUGGGAGGAGUAUCCAAGUACAGAAGGACCAAUGGAUUCCGAGAAGGGAGGGCCUCAGAGCGGCAAACUUUACGUGCAGAUCUCGAAUCCGGUGGGUGAACCAACUCAUAGAUCCUAUAUCAAAACAGUGGAACCGGGCGCUUAUCCAGCGUAUAUUUAACCACUUUGAUGCCUCUGAAAUCCUCAAGAUCAGAAUACCAGAAGGGGAGGUGGUUGAUUGCAUAGCAUGGCACUAUGAGAAGUCAGGUGUGUUUACGGUCAGGAGUGCCUAUAAGCUAGCGACGAAGCUCAAGGGAAUCGGACCUCAAACGUCAAGCUCGACAGCUGAGAUAGAUGAUCGUAGCAGCUGGGACCUCAUUUGGAAAGCAGGUAUACCGGAGAAGAUUAAAAUAUUCGCCUGGAGGGUAGCGACUAAUACAUUAGCAACCAAGAUGAACAAAUGCAAACAUACUCUUGCCAUUGAUAAUACCUGUAACAUUUGUGGUAACGCAGAGGAGAACGAGUACCACGCAGUGGUGGAAUGCACCAAGAGCAGAGCACUUCAACAGGAAAUGAGGGCCAAAUGGGCUCUGCCUAGAGAGGAGCUUUUCCGCUACACUGGAAUAGACUGGCUCCAAAGCCUGUUAAAUUCAUGCGAUGGAGAGACACGGAACAGAAUUCUUCUCCUGCUGUGGCGGGCAUGGUACCUGCGCGACAACAUUGUCCACGGAAAUGGCAAAGAGCAUAUAUCAAGAUCGGCCGCUUUUCUAGUUCAGUAUGAGCAAGAGAUCAAUGCAUCCCAAGAUAAACGGAAGCCUGGGAGCGCAGUCAGAUGCCAGACUCUGUUUGGGGACCAGGGGAUUCAGGUGCCAAAGCCCGUGUCGUCAAGCUGGCUGCCACCGCCGGAGGGUGUUACUAAAUUAAACACCGAUGCGGCAUUUGAGGCCGCCUCCAGAGCAAGUGCAUGUGGAGCCAUUGCUAGAAACGCCCAGGGUGUGAUCCUCUUCUCGUUGGGAUGCAAGCUAGAUAAUUGCUCGUCGGUGGAAGAGGCGGAGGGGCUAUCGCUGCUGCAUGGCCUUCAGGAACUAGCUAAGAUCUACAGGGGCCCAAUCCAGGUGAAGGUGGACUGCUCGUCGCUGGUCCCUGCGCUAACCCCAGGGUCCACGAAUAGAUCAAGUCUUUUCCCAAUCAUUGCUGGAAUCCGAUCAGUUCUGGCUGGAUUCAGGGGCGUUGAAAUUGGAUGGAUUAGUAGGACUGCAAACAAAGCAGCACACUAUCUUGCAGCGCGCGUGAGGACCCAUGACGAUUUUAUUUUCUUUGGCUAUGCUCCGAGUGAGCUGCAGGAUAUUUUGUCAAACGAUUGUAGUCCGGCUGUGUAA
RNAcentral lists this ribosomal RNA (1626 nucleotides) under Triticum aestivum (bread wheat). RNAcentral describes it as "partial small subunit ribosomal RNA". Lineage: Eukaryota; Viridiplantae; Streptophyta; Magnoliopsida; Poales; Poaceae. The record is from RNAcentral.